UACGGAGGAUCCAAGCGUUAUCCGGAAUCAUUGGGUUUAAGGGGUCCGUAGGCGGUUUAGUAAGUCAGUGGUGAAAGCCCAUCGCUCAACGGUGGAACGGCCAUUGAUACUGCCAGACUUGAAUUAUUAGGAAGUAACUAGAAUAUGUAGUGUAGCGGUGAAAUGCUUAGAGAUUACAUGGAAUACCAAUUGCGAAGGCAGGUUACUACUAAUGGAUUGACGCUGAUGGACGAAAGCGUGGGUAGCGAACAGG
This 253-nucleotide ribosomal RNA is filed under the name uncultured bacterium. Its description in RNAcentral is "partial 16S ribosomal RNA". It matches the Rfam family "Bacterial small subunit ribosomal RNA", at positions 524 to 776 of the family's 1533-position model. The record is from RNAcentral.